CCAGGACUGGCCGCAUUUCACAGAACACCAGGAGGGAAGCCAGCUCAAUGUCUUCACUGUACCCAUUCUUCAGAGGAACUGAUCUAAAUCCUGCAGCAGAACAGAAAAACAAUACAAAGGUCAAGCUGUCUGUCACCAACCCAGAGCCUACUAGAUGAAUGCCCACUCUGAGGUGUGCCUAUUGUACCCCCUUCAUUUUGUCACUCAAUGAAUGGACCUCCAACAGGCAUCCUGGUUGUACCCUGACAGCCAUAUCACACCUGUGGCCCCAGCAGGCUCUGCCUCAAUAGUCUGACUACAACCAGCACCCCCUUACCUGCCGUCUGGAAGUUGAGUGCCACCAUCUGGGAGCCGCAGAGCCAGAGACGGAAGGGGUCGUAGUUGGAGGAGUCAACUCGCUGUCCCUUUGGGUAGACACGCGUCAGGCCCUUCUGGUUGUACUUCAGGAGGUCGAUGGGUUUCUGUCUGGUGACACUGUCAGCCUUUGUCUCCACAAAGGAGCGGAUUUCUCGGAAGUCAGGAUUUUCUGUACAGGAGGAGAAGGAAUUGUUAUUUAUUUUGUAUCUCUUAUUGCCUCCUACAGAGCUAGACACACAGAUUGUAAGUUGAAGCUGGGUCAGAUUCUCUUGGACAAGACAUUCAAAUGUAUUUGAUAAUACUGCCUAAACCAGCAUUGCUCCAAGCUCUUCCCCCAGGAUCUCAAGUAUUAAACAUAAGCUAGUGUUCCCAUUGA
Long non-coding RNA from Erinaceus europaeus (western European hedgehog), 733 nucleotides. RefSeq lists it as uncharacterized. The transcript is spliced from 2 exons. The record is from RefSeq and is a predicted model, not a curated record. NCBI's taxonomy places the organism in Eukaryota, Metazoa, Chordata, Mammalia, Eulipotyphla, Erinaceidae.